Long non-coding RNA from Sabethes cyaneus, 537 nucleotides. RefSeq lists it as uncharacterized. The record is from RefSeq and is a predicted model, not a curated record. The transcript is spliced from 4 exons. Lineage: Eukaryota; Metazoa; Arthropoda; Insecta; Diptera; Culicidae.
UAAUUUUAUUAGCUUUUUCUGUUACUAAACCACCACUAAACCACUAAACCAAAGAAUGGCUACACAGCGAAAGCAAAUUUCCCGUAAACAUUGCUCCAAAGAGGAUAUUUCACAUUGUAUCGAAGCCAUUAAUACUGGGAUAACGGUUUACGCAAGCAGUAAACAGUUCCGGAUUCUAAUGUUCACUAUUGUCUUUAGGAGAAGCUGGAGAGAAAAAUGUAAUCCGGAUCACCAACUGGGCUAUCAAAAAAGAAGAGCAGCAAAUUGUCGACUGGUUGAAAGGUAUGCAGGAUCUGGGUUUUCCUGUUUUCCGAUAUGCACUUCUGCUUAAAGUUAUUGAGUAUCUGACAUCAAAUGAGCGGAUCACGCCGGAAUAAUCAAUCAGAGAAAUACACUUGACGUUUCAUGAUAUUAUGCUUCGCAAUCCCGAAUUUUCUAUCACACCAGAGGAAAUGCUCCUCUGGAAGAUUUUCUCAUGACGAAAUGAUAUUAGGUACCUUUACUUCCUUCUUAUAUAAUACACUACCGUUUCCAAAC